GGAGUGUCUAUGAUGAUUGCUGCAGUUAAAGAGUUCGUAGUCGAAGUGGUUAUAACGGUGUAACAGGCCUUCUCUCAAGGAGGGUUAUGCGCCGUGAUUCCAUGGAAUAAGGAGCGUUUAGGGGCCAGGUUAUUAAGCGACGAGGGGUGAAAUCUGGUGACUUGCUUAGGAGCAACAGAGGCGAAAGCGCUGGCCAGGAGCGAAUCCGAUGAUAAAGGACGUAGGCUAGAGGAUCGAAGACGAUUAGAGACCGUUGUAGUUCUAGCAGUAAACGAUGCCGAUACCGUGGUGCGGAUACGCGACGCGGAAGAGAAAUCGAGUAGGGCCCUGGGGAGAGUACACGCGCAAGCGAGAAAUUUAAAGGAAAUUGACGGAAGAACACCACAAGGAGUGGAGUGUGCGGCUUAAUUUGACUCAACGCGGGACAGCUUACCAGGCCCGACGGCCGGACGAGUGUUGUACACGAUAGGUCGAAGAGUGGUGCAUGGCCGUUAACGACGAGUGAGGUGACUUUUGGGUUAAAUCCGGGAAGUAGUGAGACCCCUACCGCAAGGGACAGGUGCCGAAAGCACAGGAAGGAAGGGUCAAGAACAGGUCAGUGAUGCCCUCAGAUGGUCUGGGCUGCACGCGCACUACAGUGGUCAUAGAAAUGAAACGAUAGAAUUAAAGAUGAUCGAGAGGGAAUGAGCUUUGUAAGAGGCUCAGGAACGAGGAAUUGCUAGUAAUCGCGGACUCAUUAAGACGCGAUGAAUACGUCCCUGUUCUUUGUACACACCGCCCGUCGUUAUCGAAGAUGGAGUCAGGCGCGAACAAGCGAGAGCGAGUGAGUGCAGGAUUCUAGAUGUGAUACAAGUCGUAACAAGGUAGCUGUAGGAGAACCUGUAGCUGG
Molecule: ribosomal RNA, 889 nt
Filed under: Glugea sp. CBG1
Lineage: Eukaryota; Fungi; Microsporidia; Glugeidae
Description: SSU rRNA
Rfam family: Microsporidia small subunit ribosomal RNA
Source: RNAcentral